UUUAGUAUAAAUAAAUUUUUAUUAUAAUUUAUAUAUUUAAUAAUUUAAAUAAUUUUGAAUAUAGAAAUUAAUAUUUAGAAUAAUUUAUUUUAAUGAAAAUUAUUAUAGAAAAUUUUAUUAUGAAUUAUUAAUAAAUUUAGGUGCCAGCAAUUGCGGUUAAACUGAUAAUGAAAAUAAAUAUUUUUAAUUAAUUAGAUUAAUAGUAAAAUUAGUGAUAUAAUAAAAUAGAAAAUUUUUAUUAAUUUGUAUUUAUAGUGAAAUGUUAAUACACUUAUUAAAUAAAAGUUUAGGUUUUAUAAAAAUAUUUUUAAAUAAGUUUUAUAAAAAAUUAGGAUUAGAUACCCUAUUAUUUUAGUGAAAUUAGGUUAAUUAAAUAUUAAAUGAUAAACAUUAAAAAUAAAAAAUUUGGCGGUAAUUUAUUAAAUUAGAGGAACUUGUUAAUUAAUUUGAUAAUCCACGAAUGGAUUGACUUAGUAUAAAUAUUUUUAUAUAUUGUUGUUGUUAAUUAUAUUAAAAGGUUUAUAAUUAUAAAGUUAAGUAAAGAUUAAAUACAAAUCAAAAUGUAGAAUUAUUAAGAUUUAUAAUGAGUUACAGUAAAAAAGAUUUUUUUAUUAAUAAUAUUUUAAUUAGAUUAUUUUAAUAAAAUGGAUUUAAAUGUAAAUUUGUAUAAAUUUAUAAAUUGAAUUUUAUUUAAAUUAUGUACAAAUUGCCCGUCAUUCUUAUUAAUAAAAAUUUAUAAGAAAAGUCGUAACAAAGUAAAUAUAUUGGAAAGUGUAUUUAGAAU
This 784-nucleotide non-coding RNA is filed under the name Nylanderia flavipes. The record is from RNAcentral. Lineage: Eukaryota; Metazoa; Arthropoda; Insecta; Hymenoptera; Formicidae.